UGGCUGUAUCCCAGUGGAGCCCCACAUUUGUAAAAGAGCUCCUCCCUGCUGCCGAAAAGACAGCUCUUCUCUACCAUCUCUCUUACCUGUGCCUGGCCAACUUCCCCAACCUGGAGAGGAUCAUCAGGAGUCGGGCUGUGGAAACCCAGCUUCUGUUUGGCUCCUCUGAUGCAACUAUGUUGAAAGUACUGUUUCAGAUUUUCACUUGAUUUCAGUAUUUUCAUCUCCGUCACCUAGAAAAAACGUCAUAACUGUAAAUAAGUUCAUAAUGUGAGCCAUGAAAAAUGUAUACUUUUCAAACUAACAUUUUAGGUAAAAUAUAAUAAAUAAGAAUUAACAUUUAUACAUUAGUAGACGCUGCUUACAGUGCAUUCAGGCUAUAUAUAUAUAUAUAUAUAUAUAUAUAUGUGAAUUGAACCCUUGACCUUUUGCAAUGCUCUACCACUGAGCCACAGGAAUUUUUACACAUAAUCUUGGUUCAGUAUGCUUACUGUGAGUUUUUUUUUUAAGUCUAAGAUAUGUGGUAUCACUUAUUAUCUUUCUUCUCACAGUGUAUUUUGACAAGUGAAAACCUGGUUCAGUCACUGUUUCCCAUGUUGGCGAAAGCUGUGGAGAAAAAUAAGGCAGUUUUGGCAGUCAAAUUUCUAGGGAAAGCACGAGUCUGGAUCAAAGAAAUUAUAAGUGAAGUGGACAGGAUAGUGCAAAAGUAUGAUUUACACAACAAAGAUGUAGCAUCAUCCACCAGUGAUGUUAUCAAGGAAAAAUUAGAUACUGAUAAAAAGAUUACAGAACAAGACCAUCAAAUGAAGCAGACUGAAAAUACUCUGAAUGAUCUGAAAUCAAAACUCCAAAAAAACACUGAAGAGCUUGCUGAAGUUGAGAGAAAGAUAAACUGCAAAAGCCAAGAGAUUCAAGAAUUUGCCAGAUCCAUAACCCAAAAAAGUAAAGGCCUUGGCAUCUUUGCUGCAAUUGUUCCAUUUAUCGGUCCAAUUGUGAAAAGCAUUUAUGAUGCUGUACAUGAUCCUGAAGAUGUUGCCCGUAUAAAGGCUCUUGAAGCUGAAUUGAAUAACCUCAUCGCUGAUAAGACUGCUCUGAGACAAAAGCAGUGGCAGCUCGAACUCCAAGUCAUUGAUUGGCAGAUGAAGUUUGCCAAAGCCAAUUUUGACCGGAAUUCCAUACCCGACCCCAUCCAUCUAAAUGAGGUUCAGAGCAGCUUGUCAAAAAUUCAGGCAAUUCUGAUUCAGCUGAAAAACUUCUGGGAGAAUGUUGCUCAAAUGCUGGACUACCUGGAACAAAAGACCUUUGUUGGAGAAGAUCUUAUUGAAGACCUUGCCGAACUAAAAGAUGAAUUUCUAGAAUCAAUCAAAACAGCGGAAGGGGCUUGGAGCAGUUUUGGUGAAGGCUGUAAAAAAGCAUCUUUCAUCUUCAAGCUCCAAACCAAAGAUGCCUACCAGUUUCUGGAGGUCAGUCCUUCCUCGCUCUCCAAGGAGCAGUGGCAAACAGAAUAUGAAAGUGUAAAGGAAAAACUGACAAAAAUAGACCCACCACAAAGUGUGACACCCUCUAAUACACCUGCCAUUUCUAAGUGAUCUACAUGUACAACUACAACAUCCCAUUUGUUUUCUGUUUCUUGAUGCUGGUAACCCGGGAUGAUAAUGUUUAGCUUUUUAAAUGCUGUACUUGUAAACUCUAGUUCUCUAGUCUCUUCUACUCAAUGCCUAAAACAAUCUUUAUAUAUUCUCUGCUCUGUAUGUAUCAUCUUUUUAUGAGUUCUUGCAAAAAGACUUUUGUUGAAUGCAUAAAUAUUUGGUUGAAUGGUUCUCUGAAUAAAGUUUGACAUAAUAACA
Cyprinus carpio (common carp) is the source of this 1847-nucleotide long non-coding RNA. Lineage: Eukaryota; Metazoa; Chordata; Actinopteri; Cypriniformes; Cyprinidae. The record is from Ensembl.